This is a long non-coding RNA of Esox lucius (northern pike), 2322 nucleotides long. The record is from Ensembl. Lineage: Eukaryota; Metazoa; Chordata; Actinopteri; Esociformes; Esocidae.
GGACGGCUCUGUGAUCAGAUGGGACUCUGCCCAAUGGGGUGUGUCGAGUGCCAAGGCCAGACAGACAGACAGCAGCCUGCCCUGUGCAUUGCCAUCCCCAGAACAGCAGCUCUCCACCUCACGGUCUUAUCCACUGACAGCAAAUAGUAGCCAAGAAACAGUCCUGUCAAUCACCCGAUUUCCAAACUUUAACCCCAACAUGACCACAGAACUCAGCCCUAACUUUAACCCCAACAUGACCACAGAACUCAGCCCUAACAUUAACCCCAACAUGACCACAGAACUCAGCCCUAACAUUAACUCUAAUGUGACCAACUCCAACCCCAACAUGACGACUAAGCUCAUCCCUAACCAUAACCCAAAUACAACCACAGGUCUCAAUGCCAACCAUAACCCCAACACAACCACACAUCCCAUUCUUAACCUUGAUCUUAACCCCAACACAACCACACAUCCCAUUCUUAACCUUGAUCUUAACCACAUCACAACCACACAGCCUAUUCUUAGUCUUGAUCUUAACCCCAACACAACCACACAUCCUAUUCUUAACCCUGACACACCCACACAUCCCAUUCUUAACCCUGACACAAUCACACAUCCUAUUCGUAGCCUCGAUCUUAACCCCAACACAACCACACAUCCCAUUCUUAACCCCAACAAAACCACACAUCCCAUUCUUAACCUUAACCCCGACACAACCACACAUCCAAUUAUUAGCCUCAAUCUUAACCCCAACACAACCACACAUCCCAUUCUUAAUCCUGACACAAACACACAUCCCCUUCUUAACCUUGAUCCUAACCCCGACACAACCACACAUCCUAUUAUUAGCCUCGAUCUUAACCCCAACACAACCACACAUCCCAUUCUUAAUCCUGACACAACCACACGUCCCAUUCAUAACUUUGAUCUUAACCCCAACAAAACCACAUAUCCCAUUCUUAACCUUAACCCCGACACAACCACACAUCCUAUUAUUAGCCUUGAUCUUAACCACAACACAAACACACAUCCCAUUCUUAAUCCUGACACAAACACACAUCCCCUUCUUAACCUUGAUCCUAACUCCAAUACAACCACACAUCCUAUUCUUAGCCUUGAUCCUAACUCCAAUACAACCUCACAUCCCAUUCUUAACCUUAAUCCCGACACAACCACACAUCCUAUUAUUAGCCUCGAUCUUAACCCCAACACAACCACACAUCCCAUUCUUAAUCCUGACACAACCACACAUCCCAUUCUUAACCUUGACCUUAACCCCAACACCACCACACAUCCCAUUCUUAAUCCUGACACAACCACACAUCCCCUUCUUAACCUUGAUCCUAACUCCAAUACAACCACAUAUCCUAUUCUUAGCCUUGAUCCUAACUCCAAUACUACCACACAUCCUAUUCUUAGCCUUGAUCCUAACUCCAAUACAACCACAUAUCCUAUUCUUAGCCUCGAUCUUAAACCAAAGACAACUGCAAAUAUCAGCCCUAAAAUUAACUCAAAUACAACCACAGAACUUAGUCGUAGCCUUAACCCUAACCCAUACAUAACCACAGGUCUUGGUCUUACUUUUGACACUAACACCAAAAAGACCACAGAUCUGAGCACUAACUUUAACCCCCACCCAACAACAGGGCUCAGGCAUAACUUUAACCCCGACCCGACCACAGAUGUGAGCCCUGACUUUAACCCCCACCCGACCACAGGGUUCAGGCGUUACUUUUAUCUCAAAACAACCACAAAAGUCAUACCUGCUGACCACCCAUCGGCUAUAUCAGAAACUACAUUACAGUAUUUUACACCUACUCCUGGGCUGCAUGAGGUGACGCAGGAGCAGCAGGGGAAUCUGGAGGAGUGGCAGGAUGAGAUAAAGGAGAAGCAAGAAAUGCUGGAGGGGCAGCAGGAGGUGAAGGGGAAGCAGGAGGUGAAGGAGGAGCAGAAAGUUGAGGAGCAUAAGGAUUUUAAGAGACAAGAGGUAAAAGAGGAACAAUUGAUGAAAGAGCAGCAACAGGAGGUUAAAUUGCAGCAGGAUUUGAAGGAAGAACCGGAGGAAGUGAAGGAGGUACUGCUGGGAAAGCUGAAGAAGGAGCAGGAGGAUAAUGAGAAGCAGAAUGUGAAGGAGGAGCAGAAGGUUAAAGAGCUGCAGGAAAUGCUGGAGGAGCAGCAUAAGGGGAAGGAGGAGCUGGAGGAGAUGAAGGAGAAGGAGCAUAGGAAGCGAGAGGAGGAGCAGGAGGAUAGUGAGCAACAGGAGGUGCAGCAGCAGAUGGAUGACUUGUUCAGCCAGGAGGCCCAACAGCAGUAUGAGUUAGAGGAGCUUUUCAACCAGAC